CACGGAGUUAGCCGGUGCUUAUUCGUAUAGUACCUUCAGCUACCCUCACGAGGGUAGGUUUAUCCCUAUACAAAAGAAGUUUACAACCCAUAGGGCCGUCGUCCUUCACGCGGGAUGGCUGGAUCAGGCUCUCACCCAUUGUCCAAUAUUCCUCACUGCUGCCUCCCGUAGGAGUCUGGUCCGUGUCUCAGUACCAGUGUGGGGGAUCACCCUCUCAGGCCCCCUAAAGAUCGUAGACUUGGUGAGCCGUUACCUCACCAACUAUCUAAUCUUGCGCGUGCCCAUCUCUAUCCACCGGAGUUUUCAAUACCGAAUGAUGCCAUUCAGUAUAUUAUGGGGUAUUAAUCUUCCUUUCGAAAGGCUAUCCCCCAGAUAAAGGCAGGUUGCACACGUGUUCCGCACCCGUACGCCGCUCUCAAGAUCCCGAAAGAUCUCUACCGCUCGGCUUGCAUGUGUUAGGCCUCCCGCUAGCGUUCAUCCUGAGCCAGGAUCAAACUC
This 498-nucleotide ribosomal RNA is filed under the name uncultured Chryseobacterium sp. RNAcentral's name for it is "partial 16S ribosomal RNA". The record is from RNAcentral. Lineage: Bacteria; Pseudomonadati; Bacteroidota; Flavobacteriia; Flavobacteriales; Weeksellaceae.